GGGGGUGUUACGGCUUCGACGAUGAAUCGUAGGAUAGGGUCGCAGGUCGGGGAUGAUGGUUGGCCCCGUAACAAUCCAUCAAAACACUAAAUGGCGUUACAAGCAGAAAGAGGAGGAGAGUCAUGAAGCUCUGCUUCUCCGGCAAAGCCAAACUCGCCGCUUAAUUAAAGGCGGCACACGAGGACUUCCGAUACUCGCUGAGGGGGCCUCGUGUCGAUUCGAGCGAGUCGGGGAUUCACCGGUGCACGGGUGAGUUUCCGUAGCUCUGUGCACUCGUCACCGAGCGGCUGGUUGCCCGACGGUUCGGUGAUUAAAUCUCCAGGCAGCUAAGCCUGUAGAAGCCCUAUGCGAAAAUUUAUGGGACGCGGGUUCGAUUCCCGCCACCUCCACCA
Molecule: transfer-messenger RNA, 392 nt
Filed under: Puniceicoccales bacterium
Lineage: Bacteria; Pseudomonadati; Verrucomicrobiota; Opitutia; Puniceicoccales
Rfam family: transfer-messenger RNA
About the family: Bacterial tmRNA, also known as 10Sa RNA or SsrA, is named for its dual tRNA and mRNA-like properties.
Source: RNAcentral